UUCAGCGUGAUACCAGACGAAAAUAAGAUGGUUCACUUCGCAGGACUUCCAUGCCCUCGUUCGCGCGAUGUGCGGCACUGUGCACGUACAAAAGGAGAAAAAGUAAUACACGACGUAUGCGAGGAGUGAUUGCAUCAGUAAGAACGCAUCAAUGAUCGUGUUUCGUUUUAUUUCUAUGAUAUAAUUUCCAGGAGCUGCUUGUUGAAAGGUAUACAUUUCUUGAUAUACAGAAAACAGACGACGAUGGAUAAUAAAUAAGCGAUCAAUAAAUCGACACGCAACUUGUCGAACUACAAUCCGUGGAAAACGCCCGAUCCAGGUGUAAAUAUUUUCGUCGCAUGCGAUCGGCAAGUAUUUCAAAGGUACAAACAGCUAUCGCGGAUGAAGGAAUGUAGUUUUAGGGCGCAAAAACACCACUCGAACGUCCCAUUCAAGGCAGCAAGCUCUGGGACCGAAAGAGUAAAUAUCGUGUGACGAGAAUACGAGAAUACAUAUAGGGGAGAUUUAAUCAAUACCCUUUUCUGCAUAAGGUCAAGAUCCAGCGAGAAACGAACGUCGAAUAGACGUCAAAUCGACAUUGAAUUAAUGUCGAUUCAUUUUUUGCCGAGUCGCGGACAAUUCAACCGGCUACGGUGAGCGUUAAUCAAUGAUGGGCGUUAAUUUAGCGGCCUUUUAAUUAUCACUCGACUCAAGUUUCAGUUGCACGAGACUACUGUGCUACUCACUCUGACCCAGUUGAAUUUGAAGAAGUACGCCAUGUAGAUGAAAAAGGCCAACAGGGUGGCCGCGAUCCCGACGUACCAUCCGAACAUCG
Molecule: long non-coding RNA, 814 nt
Organism: Dinoponera quadriceps
Lineage: Eukaryota; Metazoa; Arthropoda; Insecta; Hymenoptera; Formicidae
Exons: 3
Source: RefSeq, a predicted model, not a curated record